Canis lupus familiaris (dog) is the source of this 4069-nucleotide long non-coding RNA. RefSeq lists it as uncharacterized. NCBI's taxonomy places the organism in Eukaryota, Metazoa, Chordata, Mammalia, Carnivora, Canidae. The record is from RefSeq and is a predicted model, not a curated record. The transcript is spliced from 3 exons.
CCUCUGAGUUCUGGUCCCUGCUCCCCUCUCUGACCUCCUCUCCUCCACUCUCUUUCCGCAUCCACUGCAGUGCCCCUCGCUGCUCCUGAGCUUCCUUAGUACGUUCCCACCUCAGGGCCUUUGCACUUACUGUUCUCUCUGCCUGGAACUUUGUUUCCCAAGUAUUCAUAAGACCCCUUCCCUCUCUAUCAGGUCUUUUCUCAACUGUCACCUCCACAUGGAGGUCUUCCUUGAUUUCAUAUCUACAAUAAGCCCUUGCUCCCCCAUCACCUAUCAUUCCCCCAUCUUCUUACCCUUUUGUAUUUUCUUUCAAGCAGGUUCACUGAUGUUAUUUUAUAGAUUUAGUUGUAUAAUUAUUGUGGGGGUCGCUGCUAGACAGACCCUGUGGUGUGACGAGUGUGGGGAUGGGGAAGACACAGCGGGGUCUGCGGGGUGCUCAGAGCAGGUCCCUGCCUCAGUGUCCCCCUGAGGCCUGGACUCCCCACCCCCCUCAGCAGCCUGCUAAUGCGAUGCGGUAAUUCUGAGUCCCUGCUUUGUCCGGGAAGAGAGGUUGCCAUGGAAACAGAGGCGCGAGGCUCCAGCAAAGGGAGCAUUACCCUCCCUUUGUUAGACCCAGAGGCCUGCCUUCUGGGGGCCACCCCACCUGCUGCCUGCCUUUGGGAAAGAAGACGGGAGACGAGGAAAACGAGAGGCUGCAGCAGGUUGAGCUCCAGAAGGUCUGUGCCAGGCCCUGACCGGGACAAGCUGCUGAGCACCGCGAGCCCCAGUCCCCCCACCUGUAAAAUGGGAUGCCGGCGUCUCUCAGGGUGCCAGGGAACUUCGUGGCCAUUCUCACUGACCCCUCGCUGUAUGUAAGAGCAACCAAAGUCAAAGAGGUAAGGGGCUUGCCCCAGGUCACAUGGCUAGGCAGAGGUGGGUGGGGCAAAGGUGGCUGAGCCUGUAUGUCUCCUCCACGAUCAAUAUCCAGGCCACAUUCAUUUCUGCAGCCCUCUCCAUACCAGCAUGGAAGAGCGUGAAGAUGUGUUUGUUGAGUGAAUGACUGUGUCUGCCAGGCAGCAUUACCAAAGAUCUAUGGUUGUGGUGAGGGAGGGGAUGUUCUGCUCAACUUUGUUCUUCUCUGAGCUCCCUUGCUCCUGAGCUCAGGUCCAGACCCUUCAGUGGACUCUGAGAUGUGCAGUGACCCCUGGAGACUCCGUUCUGUGAGGAGUGGCUCAGCCAGGACAAAUGGACCCCCAGCCUCUGGGGUCCAGCUACUAUUCCUAAUUCUCUUCAUGAUUGUCCUGGGGCAGGAGGGACAGGAGGCUGGGAGGUCUGCGGGCAGGGCUGGGAGCCUUAGGAAGACAGGACCUAAGCUUGUGAAUAAGAGCCCCCAUGUUAGGCACAGCUGCCCCAUGCUGAGGGUGAGCACGUUGGGAUGGCCAUUGGUUGGGGAUGUUCAUGCAGCCAUCUGUUCGUUAUUGAGCACCUGUUGUGUACCAGACGCUGGAGCAUCAGACCUUUGGCUGGAGAAAUGGACAGUCAACAAAUAAACUUAGGAUGUGAGGGCAGGGGGUGACAAGGGGGAAGACAGACAGCAGGGCAGACUUGGAGCAGAGCAACCCUGGGCCUGGGUCAGACAGAGGAGCAUCGUAGGGACAGGAGCCGGGAUGACGGGGAGGGAGGGGGCUGCCGGGUGGAAGGCAGGGGAGAGGGUCCCCGCAGAGGGGCCUGCUGGCGAGGCCAGGAGGCAAUAAUGUGCCGGGGUGGCUGACAUGGGGUGACAGAGACUCAAGAGGGGGACCGUCGCCCAUGCCCUAGGCCCCCUUGCCCUCCUCCCCCGCUGGCUCCCGGACCCCAAAACGGCACAGCCCGGAGAGGCUGCAGCAGCUCUAUGGCCACAAGGGGGCAGCAGAGGACACACCUGGGAAGGACUGGGAAGGCUGGGGGCUGACCCAGAGCCCUGGGGGACUCCAGCAGCUGGGCCUGGGGACCAGACCCUCCCAACUCUGCUCCUCUGUCCCCAUCCUUGCAGCUCUCUUCUGAGCCUCCCCCAGCUCCUCGGCAGUCGGAAUAGUGCCUGCUAAAAUCCUGAUGCUUGCCUCUGUGUCAUGGGGACCAUCCCAGUUCCAUCUCUGGGGCCCAUUGUCGCUCUCAGUAACGUUGUUGGCAAUCGCGCACACCUCCACUGAUUGACCUGCCUUGAGCAACCUGCUUUCACUCUGAGACUCAGUUUCCCCAUAUGUAAGCGGGGGGUGAUGCCAGAGCUUAGGUGUGGGAAUCCUGUGCAAAGAAAUUGAUAUAGUACUGAUAAGGCAUGCCAGGUACUCAGCACAGUGCCUGGCACAUAGUAGCUGCUCAGUGAAGAUAAUUUAUAAUGACAAGGAUUAAUGACUUGGGGUGUUGAGCCGAGAGAGAGAGAGAGAGAGAGAGAGAGAGAGAGAGAGAGAGAGAAACUGUUCAGAUGGGAACACUGAAGAGGAGGGAUUUGCUAACGCAUACCCACCAGGAACGAGACUGGGAGCACCCCCCACCCCAAGACUCCCUGUCCAUUUGCAGAUGGGGACCCUGAAAGGGUUGUCAGCCUGGCCAAGGCCGCUGAAUCUGGGAUGCCAGCUUCCUGGCCACAGCUUAUCCUGCCCCUCUGGAACACCUGCCUGUCAAGACCCCCUUUGCCCAGCCUCUCACCUGCCACUGGUAGUUCCUGGACCAUCUAGGCUCUGCUUGCACAGCACCUCCCACCCCAGGAGGUGACCCUCCCUCCCUGACAAGCCAACUCUGACGGGGGGAGGAAGGAGCUUGCUGGGGUGGGAGCUUCUCAGGCUGUGACUCCCAAUGUCCGCCUGUGCCAACCGUGUGAGAGCAGAGAGCUGCAAACCCUGGAAUGCCUCAUGCCUGGAAACCUGGUCCUUUAGUCUUUGAGUUCUCAGAUUAUCCUAGUGGACGGGGCCCCCUCAUUUCUAACAGAGUACGGAAGGGAGCCCCUAGAUUUUGAUGCCCUUCAGGGUGCAUGAGGUGUUUCCGGAGGGUGGGUGGGCACCCAAGGGGAGGCAGCUGGAGGUGGCAGUUUAGGAGGAGCUGGGGUGGAUGAGGGAGCAUUGGGGAGCCUCGUGUGAACCCCCCUCCCCAUGGGGAAGAACCUCCCCUGGAUGGGUGUGCUCGUUCCCUUGGUGUGGAGGGGAAGCCCCUCUUCUGCGCCCCUCUCUCCCCAUGUCCUUGUGAAACACCCACAGCCCUCUUGGAAUAAUUCCUCUGAAACCUCGAAUACCUCCAGCGUCUCCCAGGGUAUUUUUCUUGUGGUUAAGGUGGUAUUUACAGUGAAAACAGCUAUUGAAGCAAAUCGCAAAAAUAAUGUCAGUGUUUCCACUUUUGACAAAAAUGGGAAGGCAGGUGGUUUCUUGUCUGCGAUAAGCGCAUCUGCUCCUGCAAUAAUUACUAUUUGAGAUAAUUAUGAAAAAGAAUUUAAAUACUUAAGGCACGCACAGGGGCCAGGACAACUUUCUUUCGCCUUAUUCAUAAUUUCUCCUGCAAGUUGGAGCCUUGUCCUGUCGUGGGCCGAGGGAGGGCCCCAGGAGAGGCACUGGAGGCGGUGGGCCAGUGCUCAGGCCCCGGGGCUGGGGCCAGGGCCGGCUCCGGGCCCCCGGAAGGACCGUGGCUCCUGGAGGCGGGCACACCUGGGUUGAAUCUGGACUUGUCUGGGGUGCCACUGUGGACAAUGAGCUCUGCACCUCAGUUUUCUUAUCUGGGCAAUGGGGCUAAUGAGUGGGUACACCUUAGAGGAUUGUUAGGAAAAUCAAGCAGGUGAGGAAGGUCCGGGAAGCACCCAGUGCUCCGCAGGGGGAGCAGCCUGGGUUGGCAUCUGAGGCUUCUGCAGCCUGGUGUCUGUGGAAAUAAGACCCAGUGCUUGCUCAAGGAGAACCCGGUGAGUUUGCACUCCCUCCUCUCCACUCUCCCAUCUGAACCCCUCUGGGGGAUGCAGGAUUCUGAGGGCAGCAGGGCAGCAGCGACUGCCCUAGAGCCAGAGAGGAGCAGGGCCCCAGGUAAGCUCAGGGGGCAGGGCCAGGGUUUAGAGCUGGGACCCAGGUGUCCCAGU